GCCAGACUCCUACGGGAGGCAGCAGUGGGGGAUAUUGCACAAUGGGGGGAACCCUGAUGCAGCGACGCCGCGUGGGUGAAGGAGCGUUUCGGCGCGUAAAGCCCUCUCGGCAGGGAAGAAGGAGGACGGUACCUGACUAAGAAGCCCCGGCUAACUACGUGCCAGCAGCCGCGGUAAUACGUAGGGGGCAAGCGUUAUCCGGAUUUACUGGGUGUAAAGGGGGCGCAGACGGCAGCGCAAGCCAGGAGUGAAAGCCCGGGGCCCAACCCCGGGACUGCUCUUGGAACUGCGCGGCUGGAGUGCAGGAGGGGCAGGCGGAAUUCCUGGUGUAGCGGUGAAAUGCGUAGAUAUCAGGAGGAACACUGGUGGCGAAGGCGGCCUGCUGGACUGCGACUGACGUUGAGGCCCGAAAGCGUGGGGAGCAAACAGGAUUAGAUACCCCCGUA
This 446-nucleotide ribosomal RNA is filed under the name uncultured bacterium. RNAcentral describes it as "bacterial SSU rRNA". It matches the Rfam family "Bacterial small subunit ribosomal RNA", at positions 330 to 792 of the family's 1533-position model. The record is from RNAcentral.